Molecule: ribosomal RNA, 300 nt
Filed under: uncultured Lactobacillus sp.
Lineage: Bacteria; Bacillati; Bacillota; Bacilli; Lactobacillales; Lactobacillaceae
Description: bacterial SSU rRNA
Rfam family: Bacterial small subunit ribosomal RNA
Source: RNAcentral
GUUACGUAGGUGCCAGCGGCGGCGGUAGUCCGUGGGGGGCAAGCGUUGUCCGGAAUCAUUGGGCGUAAAGCGCGUGUAGGCGGCCAGAAAAGUCCGCUGUGAAAACUCGAGGCUCAACGUCGAGCGGUCGGUGGAAACUUUCUGGCUAGAGUCCGGAAGAGGAGAAUGGAAUUCCUGGUGUAGCGGUGAAAUGCGCAGAUAUCAGGAAGAACACCCGUGGCGAAGGCGGUUCUCUGGGACGGUACUGACGCUGAGACGCGAAAGCGUGGGGAGCGAACAGGAUUAGAUACCCUAGUAGUC